GGGAAACGUAAAUAGGUACAAUCAGAAAUCAUGGUUGAACUACAUGGAGGAUUAGGUUACCUAUGCAAAAGAGCAAAAUAAACUUGGUAUACAAGAAGCAAGGCAUCAAACUCCAAGAGCAAAAUAACAGAUCAUGUGUAGAAGACUAGUUGGGACAAAAGAUCCUAAAACCACCAACACAUUAUGCCCCAACUCCCCCUGUGAUAUACUCUUAAUAUAUUAUCGUCUUAUUUACACAAUAUGAAGGUAGAUCAUAGCCAUCGUUCCUUAGCUUAUAGAUGCUGAAUUUGCAUAUCAUGGGGCUAGAGCUAAUAGUAGAGUGAACCUGCAGAAAACCACUUGUUCCAAAUUUAGCAAAUUGUCAUAAUUCAUUAAUUAAAAAAAAAAUUAAUCAUUCAUUAAUUAAGAACUACAUGGCUAACAUACCCUGCCACCAAUUUCCUCUCGAAGCACUGUUUGAAUUGUUGCCAUUGGGAUCAUCAUUUCUAUCAUCUUUCUUGAGCUAUUGAUUAAAAACAAAAGGAAAAGAAAAGAAAGGAAAAUCAGUUUCUCAUACUUUCUCAAGCAAUAUUAUAAUUUGGUUAAUAAUUUCACGCUCACAAUAUGGUGAGAUUCGGAGUUGUUGGUCCUUGGAGAAUAAUUUUCUUGCCCACCAUAGUAAAUUGAUGAGCUGAAAUAACAAGGUUCUGGUGUUUCAUUUUGGUAGAUAGAACUGGUAUCUUUGCCAAUCAUGCCAGUGCUACCUCCCUUGUUGCUUUGAGUGGAAUUAUCUGGAUUCCAAGAUUUGCCAUUCCCAGCUUGAUUUCCCAUAAUUCUUGAAGGGUCCUUCCCCAGCCCCAUUGAUGGAGGAGAGAAAAUAGACCCAAAAACACUUGAUGAAGAAGAAGAAGAAGAAG
Molecule: unclassified non-coding RNA, 896 nt
Filed under: Hevea brasiliensis (rubber tree)
Lineage: Eukaryota; Viridiplantae; Streptophyta; Magnoliopsida; Malpighiales; Euphorbiaceae
Source: RNAcentral